GCCCGGGUGGCGAAAUCGGCAGACGCGACGGACUUAAAAUCCGUUACCCGCAAGGGUGUGUGGGUUCAACUCCCACCCCGGGCA
Molecule: transfer RNA, 84 nt
Filed under: Actinomycetes bacterium
Lineage: Bacteria; Bacillati; Actinomycetota; Actinomycetes
Description: tRNA-Leu
Rfam family: tRNA
About the family: Transfer RNA (tRNA) molecules are approximately 80 nucleotides in length. Their secondary structure includes four short double-helical elements and three loops (D, anti-codon, and T loops). Further hydrogen bonds mediate the characteristic L-shaped molecular structure. tRNAs have two regions of fundamental functional importance: the anti-codon, which is responsible for specific mRNA codon recognition, and the 3' end, to which the tRNAs corresponding amino acid is attached (by aminoacyl-tRNA synthetases). tRNAs cope with the degeneracy of the genetic code in two manners: having more than one tRNA (with a specific anti-codon) for a particular amino acid; and 'wobble' base-pairing, i.e. permitting non-standard base-pairing at the 3rd anti-codon position.
Source: RNAcentral